UCUUCAUUCCGCGUGCUAUCUCGCCGGCUAGAGCGACGAGAGAGCGCGCGGAAUGAAGAGA
This 61-nucleotide microRNA precursor is filed under the name Pristionchus pacificus. Its description in RNAcentral is "mir-8364 microRNA precursor family". It matches the Rfam family "mir-8364 microRNA precursor family". Lineage: Eukaryota; Metazoa; Nematoda; Chromadorea; Rhabditida; Neodiplogasteridae. The record is from Rfam by way of RNAcentral.